UGGGGAAUCUUGCACAAUGGGGGCAACCCUGAUGCAGCGACGCCGCGUGAGCGAUGAAGCCCUUCGGGGCGUAAAGCUCUUUCGACCGGAACGAUAAUGACGGUACCGGGAGAAGAAGCUGCGGCUAACUACGUGCCAGCAGCCGCGGUAAUACGUAGGCAGCAAGCGUUGUUCGGAGUUACUGGGCGUAAAGAGUGCGUAGGCGGUUUUCUAAGUUCGGUGUGAAAUCUCCCGGCUUAACUGGGAGGGUGCGCCGAAGACUGGGAAGCUGGAGUGUGGGAAAGGCAGGCGGAAUUCCUGGUGUAGCGGUGAAAUGCGUAGAUAUCAGGAGGAACACCUGCGGUGUAGACAGCUUUCUGGACCAAAACUGACGCUGAGGCACGAAAGCGUGGGUAGCAAAC
RNAcentral lists this ribosomal RNA (401 nucleotides) under uncultured bacterium. RNAcentral describes it as "bacterial SSU rRNA". It matches the Rfam family "Bacterial small subunit ribosomal RNA", at positions 355 to 773 of the family's 1533-position model. The record is from RNAcentral.